AGAGUUUGAUCCUGGCUCAGAACGAACGCUGGCGGCAGGCCUAACACAUGCAAGUCGAACGACAUAGUGGCAGACGGGUGAGUAACGCGUGGGAACGUACCUUUCGCUACGGAAUAGCUCUUGGAAACGAGUGGUAAUACCGUAUACGCCCUUCGGGGGAAAGAUUUAUCGGCGAAAGAUCGGCCCGCGUUAGAUUAGUUUGUUGGUGGGGUAAUGGCCUACCAAGACUACGAUCUAUAGCUGGUCUGAGAGGAUGAUCAGCCACACUGGGACUGAGACACGGCCCAGACUCCUACGGGAGGCAGCAGUGGGUUAUCUUGCACAAUGGGCGAAAGCCUGAUUGAUCCCGGCCGCCUGGAUGAUGAAGGCCUUAGGGUUGUAAAAUUCUUUCGCUAGGGAUGAUAAUGACAGUACCUAGUAAAGAAGCCCCGGCUAACUUCGUGCCAGAGGCCGCGGGAAUUCGAACGGGGCUUACCUUGUUACGACUUACUGACCCUAAAGCGCCCGUAGGCCGCCUUUUAUAGUCACAUGCGAAAUCUCGGGGCUCAACCUAGGAACUGCAUUUGAAACUGGAAGUCUGGAGUUCAGGAGAGGUUAGCGGAAUACCGAGUGUAGAGGUGAAAUUCGUAGAUAUUCGGUGGAACACCAGUGGCGAAGGCGGCUAACUGGACCAAUUCUGAUGCUGACGGGCGAAAGUGUGGGGAGCAAACAGGAUUAGAUACCCUGGUAGUCCACACCGUAAACGAUGACAGCUAGUUGUUGGCAGGCAUGCCUGUCGGUGACGCAGCUAACCCGUUAACCUGUCCGCCUGGGGAGUACGGCCGCAAGGUUAAAACUCAAAGUAUUCACCGUGGCAUGCUGAUCCGGUGGAGCAUGUGGUUUACUUCGAAGCAACGCGCAGAACCUUACCUACCCUUGACAUGCCCAUCGAGGUUGCCAGAGAUGGAUUCCUGAACUGAGGCUGGAUAUGUGUCAGGUGCUGCCAUGGCUGUCGUCAGCACGUGUCGUAAGUGUUGGGUUACGUCCCGCAACGAUCCCCACCUUCCUCCUUAGUUGCCAGCACGUUUUAGUGCCCACCCUAAGGAAACGUGCCGAUGGCAAGCCUAAGGAAGGUGGGGUUGACGUCAAGUCCUCAUGGCGCUUGCGGGUAAUCCAACACACGUGCUACAAUAGCAGUGACGACAGGAUAAUCCCAUGAACCUGUCACCGAUCAGAUUGUCCUCUGCAACUCGAGGACAUGAAUCUGGAAUCGGUAUGUCUACUGUAUCAGCAUGCCACGGUGAAUACGUUCCCGGGCCUUGUACACACCGCCCGUCACAUCAUGGGAAUUGGCUCUACCCGAAGACGCUGUGCUAACUUCGGAGGCAGGCGGCCACGGUAGGGUCAGUGACUGGGAUGAAGUCGUAACAAGGUAGCCGUA
RNAcentral lists this ribosomal RNA (1420 nucleotides) under uncultured bacterium. RNAcentral describes it as "partial 16S ribosomal RNA". It matches the Rfam family "Bacterial small subunit ribosomal RNA". The record is from RNAcentral.